RNAcentral lists this ribosomal RNA (225 nucleotides) under Escherichia coli. RNAcentral describes it as "partial 16S ribosomal RNA". It matches the Rfam family "Bacterial small subunit ribosomal RNA", at positions 1 to 220 of the family's 1533-position model. Lineage: Bacteria; Pseudomonadati; Pseudomonadota; Gammaproteobacteria; Enterobacterales; Enterobacteriaceae. The record is from RNAcentral.
UUAAAUUGAAGAGUUUGAUCAUGGCUCAGAUUGAACGCUGGCGGCAGGCCUAACACAUGCAAGUCGAACGGUAACAGGAAGAAGCUUGCUUCUUUGCUGACGAGUGGCGGACGGGUGAGUAAUGUCUGGGAAACUGCCUGAUGGAGGGGGAUAACUACUGGAAACGGUAGCUAAUACCGCAUAACGUCGCAAGACCAAAGGAGGGGAACUUAGGGCCUCUUGCCA